AUAAUGUCGUAAGACUAAAGUGGGGGACUUUAAGGCCUCGCGCCAUGAGAUGAACCCAGAUGAGAUUAGCUAGUAGGUGCGGUAAUGGCGUACCUAGGCGACGAUCUCUAGCUGGUCUGAGAGGAUGACCAGCCACACUGGAACUGAGAGACGGUCCAGACUCCUACGGGAGGCAGCAGUGGGGAAUAUUGCACAAUGGGCGAAAGCCUGAUGCAGCCAUGCCGCGUGUGUGAAGAAGGCCUUAGGGUUGUAAAGCACUUUCAGCGGGGAGGAAGGAGGUAAGAGUAAUAUACUUAUCGAUUGACGUUACCCGCAAAAGAAGCACCGGCUAACUCCGUGCCAGCAGCCGCGGUAAUACGGAGGGUGCAAGCGUUAAUCGGAAUAACUGGGCGUAAAGGGCAUGUAGGCGGUAAGUUAAGUCAGAUGUGAAAUCCCCGAGCUUAACUUGGGAACGGCAUUUGAGACUGGCUGGCUAGAGUUUUGUAGAGGGGGGUAGAAUUCCAGGUGUAGCGGUGAAAUGCGUAGAGAUCUGGAGGAAUACCAGUGGCGAAGGCGGCCCCCUGGACAAGGACUGACGCUGAGGUGCGAAAGCGUGGGUAGCAAACAGGAUUAGAUACCCUGGUAGUCCACGCCGUAAACGAUG
This 643-nucleotide ribosomal RNA is filed under the name uncultured Candidatus Regiella sp. RNAcentral's name for it is "bacterial SSU rRNA". It matches the Rfam family "Bacterial small subunit ribosomal RNA", at positions 173 to 811 of the family's 1533-position model. The record is from RNAcentral. Lineage: Bacteria; Pseudomonadati; Pseudomonadota; Gammaproteobacteria; Enterobacterales; Enterobacteriaceae.